UCCCCGGGCUGCUCUGGACCGGCAGCUCGAGACUCAUCCCCCCGCUGAACCAGCUGGAACUGCUGAGGAACCUCAAGAGUAAAUCUGGACUCGCUUUCAG
This 100-nucleotide small RNA is filed under the name Pongo abelii (Sumatran orangutan). Its description in RNAcentral is "processed transcript". The record is from RNAcentral. Lineage: Eukaryota; Metazoa; Chordata; Mammalia; Primates; Hominidae.